This 333-nucleotide unclassified non-coding RNA is filed under the name Hevea brasiliensis (rubber tree). Lineage: Eukaryota; Viridiplantae; Streptophyta; Magnoliopsida; Malpighiales; Euphorbiaceae. The record is from RNAcentral.
ACAUGGCCACAUGAUUCAAAACCGUGUAUACGAACGGUAGAACACCUUCAAUAAACACUAGUUAUGGUGGGGGUUGAUGAAAUUCACUCGAGAUAACCUGUUGAAACUUGAAAGUUCAGUUGUCCAAACUCAGGAUGGAGACUUCCUCACCAUUUACCGAGGAAUUCAGUUGAACAAAUUUUUUUUCAGUUCCAAAAUUCAAAACGCGUGACAUUGUAUUGUAGAAUUUUCCAUUUAAAACCAUAAGAAAAAAAUAAUAAUAAUUAUCAUUAACAACACAGCUAUACAUAACUUGUAAUGAAUGGUACGGGACUACAAACCAAAACUGAGGAA